This 1476-nucleotide long non-coding RNA is filed under the name Nicotiana tabacum (common tobacco). Its description in RNAcentral is "long non-coding RNA (NTAB_LNC005058)". Lineage: Eukaryota; Viridiplantae; Streptophyta; Magnoliopsida; Solanales; Solanaceae. The record is from RNAcentral.
CAAAGUGAGCUCGACAACAGCAGAAAUGAGGCUCAGCUACAACCUUUGAACAGCAGCCAAAAAACUCAGAGUAGUCCCAACAAUUGAACUUAAAGUUCCCAGAAAACUUAAGUGCUAAGAAACUAGAAGAAAACCAAGAAGCAUUUUUGUCAUCUUUCUGAAAAAGGUAAUAUCCUUUUUUUGUGUGUGUAAAGAUGUGUAGAGUGUAUCCUUUUUAGUGAGGAAAGACCUCCUCUUUAUAUAGGAGAGGAAGGACUCUUGGGACAGAUUUUGUUUAUCAAAAAAUCUGUCCAAAAUGAUAACUUUUUGAUUGAAAAUUUGUCCAAAACCAAAAAUCUACCCAAGAAACAGUGUUCUUUACCAACUGUGGAUAGGUUUUUGGAGCAUUAUGCUCCAAAUAGUGCCUGAACAGUAGAAAGCAACCAAAUAGUACCCCCCUCUCAUCAUUCCCUUACUACACUCUCAACUUUACCAAUACACCAAAUAUUUUCUCAAAACAAUCAAACCCAAACAACUAUGGACUAUCAAAGUAGAAACAAGAUUUAAAAUGUAAUCGAACUAAAUAUUCAAACAAACUAGAUUGAAUGAAUUCGAUUUGUGCAAACUAAACUCGAGCGACUGAAAUCACAAGCUAAUAUGCGAAACAGAAACUAAACGAGCAUCGCGAAACUAUCACACACAAUUAAUAACAACUAACAAAUAACUAACUAAAUAAAUGAUUCAACUUCUUGUGGGUUUUUCAUGAAACUAGCAUAAAACACUUAUCAUAGACUAACUACUAAUAAAAAUUACAGAAGAUUAAACUAAAAUGCACAACCAAACGGGAAAACAGAAAUUAAGAAAAAUAAGGGAAAAGAUUGAAGCAUACCGAACAAUCCGUGGCAUCGGGGGAGUGAGAUAAGGCGGGACAACCGACUCAAGCACACUUCCUUUGAGCUAAAACACCAAGGCAACCAAUUCCGGUGCAUGACCGUCGACUCGUGCAUUUUUAACUCAAAGAAAACGUGCCCUAGGUCGGAAUUGAGGUCUUCGGGCAGCGGUCGUGGUAAUUAGGCAGCGUUUGGAUGGUGGUUUGGUCAGUGGUGGUUGAAGGUGGAAGUUCUUCGAAAUCGAAGAAAUAGAGGCGACUAGGGUUUUGAUUUAUUUGGAUAUUCACGGAGUUUGGUUGGGAUUUUGAGGACCUGAUUUGGAGAUAUGGAGAGAAGAGGAGGAGAGGAGGAGAUGGGUAUAAUUAUGGAGGUGACUUGGGCCACCGGACAGUGGCGGAGCGGCGGCGGCAGUGGUGGCAGAGCACGGCGGGGGGAGGUUUUUUUUGCGGUUUAGCUUGUGGAUUCGGGUAGAUGAGGAAAAGAGGAGAAAAAUGAUAUACAAUUUGGGUGGGUUUUAGGUGGUCUGCCGCCGAUGACAAAUUCCGGCGGGCGCCGCCGCCGUGAGGGAGUGGCGGCGGCAGAUGAAGGAGAGAGAAGAGAGAGAUGG